Molecule: long non-coding RNA, 560 nt
Organism: Sorghum bicolor (sorghum)
Lineage: Eukaryota; Viridiplantae; Streptophyta; Magnoliopsida; Poales; Poaceae
Exons: 2
Source: RefSeq, a predicted model, not a curated record
AUUCCAAUGACGCUCAUCUUCGCACCAUGCAGGCGCCUGGUUCUCCUUGUUGCCAAGCUCCAGGAACUAGAAGCAAGCAUCAUGCACAGUAGGUCAUCAUAUCCAGCAGUAUGGAGUCACAUAGCGAGGAUACAAACAAUAACCAUCACGCUGUGAAGGAAGAUUGGAAGUAAUUUCUAAUCGAUAUAUGCAAUUGAGCUUUCAGAUUUUUAGCAGUCUCCUUCUCCUGCACAUAUUGAAUGCAUAUCAGCAUACAAAAGCAGUGGUGACAUGUAACCAGAAUCAUGGGAUUCUGGGAAUUAAUGCAAGGAGAGAUGAUUAUCAGUGGACAGUUUCAUUAGAUGCCUUUCUUUCACUUGUAAACCUUGUAGUACUAAAUGUUAAUGGAGUUAUCUUGUGUUGCUGAAAAUAAUUAGGUUCGUGUUGGUUUCAACAAUUGAUUAUACUCAACAUUAACUCAUUGUUAGCUAAUUUCCGUGUAGAAAUUUGGUUUUCUAUGUUCACUUAGUUCACUCUUUUCAGAAAAUAAUAUAUAAAAAGAACUUACUGGGCCAGUGUAA